Molecule: ribosomal RNA, 500 nt
Filed under: uncultured Glomeromycotina
Lineage: Eukaryota; Fungi; Glomeromycota
Description: partial small subunit ribosomal RNA
Rfam family: Eukaryotic small subunit ribosomal RNA
Source: RNAcentral
CCAAUAGCGUAUAUUAAAGUUGUUGCAGUUAAAAAGCUCGUAGUUGAAUUUCGGGAUCAAUAUAUCGGUCGUGCCAUCGGUACGUACUGGUAUCAUUGGUUUCUCCUUUCUGACGAACCAUGAUGUCAUUAAUUUGGUGUCAUGGGAAGUUAGGACUGUUACUUUGAAAAAAUUAGAGUGUUUAAAGCAGGCUUUAGCUUGAAUACAUUAGCAUGGAAUAAUGAAAUAGGACGUUCGAACCUAUUUUGUUGGUUUCUAGGAUCAACGUAAUGAUUAAUAGGGAUAGUUGGGGGCAUUAGUAUUCAAUUGUCAGAGGUGAAAUUCUUGGAUUUAUUGAAGACUAACUACUGCGAAAGCAUUUGCCAAGGAUGCUUUCAUUAAUCAAGAACGAAAGUUAGGGGAUCGAAGACGAUCAGAUACCGUCGUAGUCUUAACCAUAAACUAUGCCGACUAGGGAUCGGAUGAUGUUAAUUUUUUAAUGACUCAUUCGGCGCCUUACG